Molecule: ribosomal RNA, 415 nt
Filed under: Sheathia arcuata
Lineage: Eukaryota; Rhodophyta; Florideophyceae; Batrachospermales; Batrachospermaceae
Description: partial 23S ribosomal RNA
Rfam family: Bacterial large subunit ribosomal RNA
Source: RNAcentral
UUGGACAGAAAAGACGUAUGAAGCUUUAUUGUAUCUUGGAAUUGAACUUGGGUUUUAUUUGCGCMGUAUAGGUGGGAGGCUAUGAUGAUCKACUUGCGGGUUGUUYUGAGCCAAAAGUGAGAUACCACUCUGGUAAAACUAAAGUUCUAACCUUGCAAGCCGUUAUCCGGCCAAGGAACAGUUUCAGGUGGGCAGUUUGACUGGGGCGGUCGCCUCCUAAAAAGUAACGGAGGCGUGCAAAGGUUCCCUCAGGCUGGUCGGAAAUCAGUCGUARAGUAUAAAGGCAUAAGGGAGCUUGACUGCAARACCUACAAGUCAAGCAGARACRAAAGUCGGCCUUAKUGAUCCRACAGUUCCRAGUGGAAGGGCUGUCCCUCAACGGAUAAAAUUUACUCUAGGAAAAAAGGGCUAAAAA